Long non-coding RNA from Etheostoma cragini (Arkansas darter), 189 nucleotides. RefSeq lists it as uncharacterized. The transcript is spliced from 3 exons. Lineage: Eukaryota; Metazoa; Chordata; Actinopteri; Perciformes; Percidae. The record is from RefSeq and is a predicted model, not a curated record.
AGGCGUUUCUAGUUAUAAUAUAAUACGUAAAGAUGUGUAUGGGUCAUUUUGACACGAAAACAUUUCAUGAAUGACAUUUGAUGUUUGAAAGUCUCUAGGUUUUGACAUAAAUGCAGACAGAAAUGUAAUUUAAAAAAUAAUAACUAUCAAAUGUUGCACCUGUCAAUACGGAAAUAUUCUGUAGCCUAU